CCUACGGGCGGCAGCAGUGGGGAAUAUUGGGCAAUGGGCGCAAGCCUGACCCAGCAACGCCGCGUGAAGGAAGAAGGCUUUCGGGUUGUAAACUUCUUUUGACAGGGAAGAGCAGAAGACGGUACCUGUCGAAUAAGCCACGGCUAACUACGUGCCAGCAGCCGCGGUAAUACGUAGGUGGCAAGCGUUGUCCGGAUUUACUGGGUGUAAAGGGCGUGUAGCCGGGCUGACAAGUCAGAUGUGAAAACCAUGGGCUCAACCUGUGGCCUGCAUUUGAAACUGUUUUUCUUGAGUACUGGAGAGGCAGACGGAAUGCCUCGUGUAGCGGUGAAAUGCGUAGAUAUGAGGAGGAACACCAGUGGCGAAGGCGGUCUGCUGGACAGCAACUGACGCUGAGGCGCGAAAGCGUGGGGAGCAAACAGGAUUAGAUACCCUUGUAGUC
This 442-nucleotide ribosomal RNA is filed under the name uncultured bacterium. Its description in RNAcentral is "partial 16S ribosomal RNA". It matches the Rfam family "Bacterial small subunit ribosomal RNA", at positions 338 to 795 of the family's 1533-position model. The record is from RNAcentral.